This 484-nucleotide ribosomal RNA is filed under the name uncultured bacterium. RNAcentral describes it as "partial 16S ribosomal RNA". It matches the Rfam family "Bacterial small subunit ribosomal RNA", at positions 30 to 507 of the family's 1533-position model. The record is from RNAcentral.
AUUGAACGCUGGCGGCAGGCCUAACACAUGCCAGUCGAGCGGAUGAAGGGAGCUUGCUCCUGGAUUCAGCGGCGGACGGGUGAGUAAUGCCUAGGAAUCUGCCUGGUAGUGGGGGAUAACGUCCGGAAACGGGCGCUAAUACCGCAUACGUCCUGAGGGAGAAAGUGGGGGAUCUUCGGACCUCACGCUAUCAGAUGAGCCUAGGUCGGAUUAGCUAGUUGGUGGGGUAAAGGCCUACCAAGGCGACGAUCCGUAACUGGUCUGAGAGGAUGAUCAGUCACACUGGAACUGAGACACGGUCCAGAGUCCUAAGGGAGGCAGCAGUGGGGAAUAUUGGACAAUGGGCGAAAGCCUGAUCCAGCCAUGCCGCGUGUGUGAAGAAGGUCUUCGGAUUGUAAAGCACUUUAAGUGGGGAGGAAGGGCAGUAAGUUAAUACCUUGCUGUUUUGACGUUACCAACAGAAUAAGCACCGGCUAACUUCGUG